GGCGAGGCCGGUACUGACGCUCAGGCACGAAGGCGUGGGGAUCAAACAGGAUUAGAUACCCUGGUAGUCCACGCAGUAAACGAUGAGGACUUGUUGUCGGCGAUAGAAUGUCGGUGACAAAGCGAAAGCGAUAAGUCCUCCACCUGGGGAGUACGAUCGCAAGGUUGAAACUCAAAGGAAUUGACGGGGGCCCGCACAAGCGGAGGAGCAUGUGGUUUAAUUCGAUGAUACGCGAGAAACCUUACCUGGACUCAAAUGUUGAGCGACCGAUUCAGAAAUGGAUCUUCCCUUCGGGGCGCUCAGCAAGGUGCUGCAUGGUUGUCGUCAGCUCGUGCCGUGAGGUGUCAGGUUAAGUCCUAUAACGAGCGCAACCCCUACGCCCAGUUGCCAGCGGGUAAAGCCGGGGACUCUGGGGGAACUGCCCACGCAAGUGGCGAGGAAGGUGGGGAUGACGUCAAAUCAGCACGGCCCUUACGUCCAGGGCGACACACGUGCUACAAUGGCCGGUACAGAGGGCAGCCACCUGGUGACAGGGAGCGAAUCUCGAAAGCCGGUCUCAGUUCGGAUCGGAGUCUGCAACUCGACUCCGUGAAGUUGGAU
RNAcentral lists this ribosomal RNA (600 nucleotides) under uncultured bacterium. RNAcentral's name for it is "bacterial SSU rRNA". It matches the Rfam family "Bacterial small subunit ribosomal RNA", at positions 727 to 1331 of the family's 1533-position model. The record is from RNAcentral.